This 607-nucleotide ribosomal RNA is filed under the name uncultured bacterium. Its description in RNAcentral is "bacterial SSU rRNA". It matches the Rfam family "Bacterial small subunit ribosomal RNA", at positions 50 to 648 of the family's 1533-position model. The record is from RNAcentral.
AACACAUGCAAGUCGAGGGGCAGCAUAAUGGAUAGCAAUAUCUAUGGUGGCGACCGGCGCACGGGUGCGUAACGCGUAUGCAACCUACCUUUAACAGGGGGAUAACACUGAGAAAUUGGUACUAAUACCCCAUAAUAUCAUAGAAGGCAUCUUUUAUGGUUGAAAAUUCCGAUGGUUAGAGAUGGGCAUGCGUUGUAUUAGCUAGUUGGUGGGGUAACGGCUCACCAAGGCGACGAUACAUAGGGGGACUGAGAGGUUAACCCCCCACACUGGUACUGAGACGCGGACCAGACUCCUACGGGAGGCAGCAGUGAGGAAUAUUGGUCAAUGGACGCAAGUCUGAACCAGCCAUGCCGCGUGCAGGAUGACGGCUCUAUGAGUUGUAAACUGCUUUUGUACGAGGGUAAACGCAGAUACGUGUAUCUGUCUGAAAGUAUCGUACGAAUAAGGAUCGGCUAACUCCGUGCCAGCAGCCGCGGUAAUACGGAGGAUUCAAGCGUUAUCCGGAUUUAUUGGGUUUAAAGGGUGCGUAGGCGGUUUGAUAAGUUAGAGGUGAAAUUUCGGGGCUCAACCCUGAACGUGCCUCUAAUACUGUUGAGCUAGAGAG